GGGAAUGUGGCUCAGUGAUAAGAGUGCAUACUUUGCAUGUGUGAGGCCUUGGGUUCAAACUCCAGUACUGCCC
RNAcentral lists this transfer RNA (73 nucleotides) under Marmota marmota marmota (Alpine marmot). It matches the Rfam family "tRNA". Rfam says of the family: Transfer RNA (tRNA) molecules are approximately 80 nucleotides in length. Their secondary structure includes four short double-helical elements and three loops (D, anti-codon, and T loops). Further hydrogen bonds mediate the characteristic L-shaped molecular structure. tRNAs have two regions of fundamental functional importance: the anti-codon, which is responsible for specific mRNA codon recognition, and the 3' end, to which the tRNAs corresponding amino acid is attached (by aminoacyl-tRNA synthetases). tRNAs cope with the degeneracy of the genetic code in two manners: having more than one tRNA (with a specific anti-codon) for a particular amino acid; and 'wobble' base-pairing, i.e. permitting non-standard base-pairing at the 3rd anti-codon position. Lineage: Eukaryota; Metazoa; Chordata; Mammalia; Rodentia; Sciuridae. The record is from Rfam by way of RNAcentral. RNAcentral also lists the same sequence under 2 other names.